This is a long non-coding RNA of Octopus sinensis (East Asian common octopus), 534 nucleotides long. RefSeq lists it as uncharacterized. NCBI's taxonomy places the organism in Eukaryota, Metazoa, Mollusca, Cephalopoda, Octopoda, Octopodidae. The transcript has 3 exons. The record is from RefSeq and is a predicted model, not a curated record.
GGCUGCAGCAGCGCCAAAUAUUCACAAGAUAUGGAAUAUGUCAGAACAAGUACUUGGAAUACUUUUUAUAUAGAUUUCCGAAUUCGGUCUAACGAAAUAUUCAAACGAAUAAAACUGACAACAUUCAUUCAAAUGAUUUUACAAAUUGAACACGUCGACUUAGCUUUGUCCAAAAAUGUAACAAAAAAUGAAGAGGUUUCAUCAUCUACUAAUAUCAAUGGGAAUAACUCAAAAUCACAUUCCCGUCCGACAUUAUUGACGUAUUCUCUAUGCUAAUAUAAUAGGCUUAUAUCCGGAUCUGGAGAACUGGAUGAAAAUAUGGAGCCCUAUUUAAAGGAACCUGUUAAAAAAACUGAUCAAUGUCUAACUCCGGAAGAUUCCCUGUCUCCAUAUCUGCUAUUGGAUUUAAGGGAUAAAGACCUGUACAUGAAAGGCCACAUAAAAACUGGUUUUGUGAAUCACAUAAAUAUAGCACUUUCAUAUCCAAUGACAAUGCUCUCUCGAAUGCACAACUACGAGACCAAAGAAAUGCUA